This is a long non-coding RNA of Ahaetulla prasina, 1163 nucleotides long. RefSeq lists it as uncharacterized. The transcript is spliced from 2 exons. NCBI's taxonomy places the organism in Eukaryota, Metazoa, Chordata, Lepidosauria, Squamata, Colubridae. The record is from RefSeq and is a predicted model, not a curated record.
UGCAUGCCAGAUAGGUGGGUGGGUGCACAGUUUCCUUAAAAUUGAACUUACACAUUGCAAACAAGGAAAGGAGCAAGGAAAACAGCUGAGGAGGACCAAUUCAAUCAGCUGCCCCUGAUCAGCUGAGCUUCAGAAACAGAAAUAAAGGUCUGCUUGAAUGGAUGUUUCUAUUGUCUUGCUGUACUGUGAGCCCUGCAGUGCCAUUAAGGGAUUGAGCAGUUUAUAAAUCUUGCAAAUGAAUCUACGAAUGAAUAAAUAAAUAUGCUGUUAACAAAAACGUAAAUGUUGUUUGUUUUUCUUGUGACAGGAAGAUAUGUUUUAGGACCCUGCUUGCGAAUGCUGUACUGCUUAUUUAUUCUUCCUUGAAAGAAAAUUAAUAAUAAUACAAAUGAUUUAUUUAUUUACAUAUGACAUUUACUGUAUAUGGCUAAUCAACUCAGACAAAUGUGACUUUGGAUGACAUACAGCAAUAGAAAAAGAGCCAGAAAGUAAAUACGAUUAAAAUUAUACCAACUGCAUUUAAUAGAUGAUUGGAAACCCUCAGUGCUGUGUCCUUGGCGCUCCCUGAACUUGGUGGUUUGCUUGCAGAUAUUUCAUUACCCAGCUAGAUAACGUCAUCAGUGCUAGUGAGUAUGGGCUUUGCCUCCUGUUUAUAUACAGUAGCCUUUGUAUGAUUCCUGAAGUGCUUGAUGAUCAUAUGGGGUUCCAAUAGAAGAAAAUACACUGUAUGUAGCUCAGGAUUGGUCCGUGGAGUCCUUGAUGUGUAAUGCUCUUUACCCAGAUGGAAUCUCUUAUGAUCCCGUGGUGGUGCAGUGGUUACAGUGCAGCGCUGCAGGCUACUUCUGCUGAUCACCGGCUGCCAGCAAUUUGGCAGAUCGAAUCUCACCAGGCUCAAGAUUGACUCGGCCUUCCAUUCUACUACUAUUAAUCGUUUCAUAGUUCCCAUCACCAAUCUCUUUCCACUUAUGACUGUAUGACUAUAACUUGUUGCUGGCAAUCCUUAUGAUUUAUAUUGAUAUAUUGACCAUCAAUUGUGUUGUAAAUGUUGUACCUUGAUGAACGUAUCUUUUCUUUUAUGUACACUGAGAGCAUAUGCACCAAGACAAAUUCCUUGUGUGUCCAAUCACACUUGGCCAAUAAAAUUCUAUUCUAUUCUAUUCUUC